Molecule: long non-coding RNA, 513 nt
Filed under: Sorghum bicolor (sorghum)
Lineage: Eukaryota; Viridiplantae; Streptophyta; Magnoliopsida; Poales; Poaceae
Description: long non-coding RNA (SBIC_LNC013194)
Source: RNAcentral
CCUUUGGCUUAUGUAUCUUAUCUGGCCUCUUUCUGCUAAGGCGAAGUGCCCCGUCUGUUCCUGUCAGACUGCUGCCUGCCAUUUAGUGACAAUUUACAAAGCAUAUACGUGAGCUUCUGUCACACCUGAAAGCAAAGAGAGGGAUUGUCAGUAUAUUUAUACUGAAUUAGAAAGGAUUUUCUAGUGCAUUUUCUGUAUGCAGGCAUCUAAGUGCAUACCAAGUUAUGGCAUGGCAUUUGUACUUUUUAAUUUGCCAUCUCAUCUCCCCUUCCCUCAGAAAAUAGAAUUUUGGAAUACAUGGUAGAUGAAAACAAGAUGUUAAUUUUAAAUCAUAGGUUUGUUUCAUCGCACUGUUCAGGUGGUCGGCCAUUGCAACACAUCUACCAAAUCGCACAGACAAUGAGAUCAAGAACUACUGGAACACACACCUCAAGAAAAGGCUGGCCAAGAUGGGGAUCGAUCCUGUCACCCACAAAUCUCUCAGUGGCACUCUCACUGGCACCACAAACAACA